RNAcentral lists this ribosomal RNA (503 nucleotides) under uncultured bacterium. Its description in RNAcentral is "bacterial SSU rRNA". It matches the Rfam family "Bacterial small subunit ribosomal RNA", at positions 8 to 507 of the family's 1533-position model. The record is from RNAcentral.
AGAGUUUGAUCAUGGCUCAGAUUGAACGCUAGCGGGAUGCCUUACACAUGCAAGUCGAACGGCAGCGCGGACUUCGGUCUGGCGGCGAGUGGCGAACGGGUGAGUAAUGUAUCGGAACGUGCCCAGUAGCGGGGGACAACCACUCGAAAGAGUGGCUAAUAUCGCAUACGCCCUACGGGGAAAGGGGGGGAUCGAAAGACCUCUCACUAUUGGAGCGGCCGAUAUCGGAUUAGCUAGUUGGUGGGGUAAAGGCCUACCAAGGCGACGAUCCGUAGCUGGUUUGAGAGGACGACCAGCCACACUGGGACUGAGACACGGCCCAGACUCCUACGGGAGGCAGCAGUGGGGAAUUUUGGACAAUGGGGGAAACCCUGAUCCAGCCAUUCCGCGUGUGCGAUGAAGGCCUUCGGGUUGUAAAGCACUUUUGGCAGGAAAGAAAUCGUGUGGGUUAAUACCCUGCGCGGAUGACGGUACCUGCAGAAUAAGCACCGGCUAACUACGUG